RNAcentral lists this ribosomal RNA (2923 nucleotides) under Plasmopara viticola. Its description in RNAcentral is "bacterial LSU rRNA". It matches the Rfam family "Bacterial large subunit ribosomal RNA". The record is from RNAcentral. Lineage: Eukaryota; Oomycota; Peronosporomycetes; Peronosporales; Peronosporaceae.
UUAAAAGCUUGUGACGGAUCCCUUGGUAUCUAGAAGUUAAAUAGGACGUGAUUUACCUGCGAUAAGUUUCGGGGAGUAGGAGAAAGCUUUGAUCCGGAAAUUUCCUAAUUUUUUUCUGAAUCUAUAAGGAAAAAGAAUCAACCUAGGGAACUGAAACAUCUUAGUACCUAGAGGAAAAGAAAGUAAAAACGAUUCCCGUAGUAGUGGCGAACGAACUGGGAUGUAUUGUCUAAACCAUUCUUAUUAGGAAUGGGGUUAUAGGGUAAAAGAUUAGACAAAGAACAAUGGUAGGUGAAAUUGUUGGAAAGCGAUACCCAAGAAAGUGAUAGUCUUGUAACCGAAACCAAUUUCUUUGACUUUUUUAUUCCUGAGUAGUAUGGAACACGAGGAAUUCCGUAUGAAGUUACGAAGACCACUUCGUAAGACUAAAUAUUCCUAGAUAUCCGAUAGCGAAAUAGUACCGUGAGGGAAUGGUGAAAAAGAACCCCGGGAGGGGAUUGAAAAAGAACGUGAAAUUGCAAGCUUACAAACAGAAGAAACUCCUUUUUUAGUAGUAUUUCUUCGUGCCUGUUGAAGAAUGUUCCGGCGAGUUAUAGUUAGUGGCGGGUUAAAAUAGAGAUAUUGGAGCCAUAGUGAAAGCGAGCUUGAAUAGAGCGAAAGUCACUAAUUAUAGACCCGAACCCGCUUGAUCUAACCAUGUCCAGGGUGAAACUUAGGUGACACUAAGGGGAGGCCCGAACCGACUAAUGUUGAAAAAUUAGCGGAUGAGGUGUGGUUAGGGGUGAAAUGCCAAUCGAAAGCGGAGCUAGCUGGUUCUCCCCGAAAUGUAUUGAGGUGCAGCGGUUAAUCUUUUAGCAUAGGGGUAAAGCACUGUUUUAAACGGGGCCACAACAACUGGUACCUUAUUGAGGCAAACUCUGAAUACUAUGUGUACAAUUAACCAGUAAGACUAUGAGGGAUAAGCUUCAUUGUCAAGAGGGAAACAGCCCAGAUCACCAGUUAAGGCCCCUAAAUGAUUACUAAGUGAAAAAGGAAGUGAAAAGGCUAAAACAACCAGGAGGUUCGCUUAGAAGCAGCAAUCCUUUAAAAAGUGCGUAAUAGCUUACUGGUCUAGCAGUUUUGCGCCGAAAAUUUUUGGGACUAAGUAAUUUGCCGAAGCUGUGAGAUAUAAACAAUUAUAUCGGUAGGGGAGCGUUCCACAGUAGAAUGAAGUGAACACGAAAGUGUUUAUGGACGAACUGGAAGUGAGAAUGUCGGAUUGAGUAGCGAAAACAAUGGUGAGAAUCCAUUGCUCCGAAACCCUAAGGUUUCCUCUGGAAGGCUCGUCCGCAGAGGGUUAGUCAGGUUCUAAGAUGAGGCUGAAAAGCGUAGUCGAUGGAUAAUGGGUUAAUAUUCCUAUACUAAUACCUAUCGUUUUUUCUUUUUUUAUUUUAAAAAAAAAUCAAAAUCAGAAAAAAUUGAAAGAAAAAUGACGAAGAAGGCUAGGUUAGCCAAUGAAUGGUUUUUGGUUUAAGCUAUUAAGAUUGAUACUCAAGAUUCAUUAUUGCUUUAAAGUUAAAGCAAGAUCGGAAAUUGUCAGUUGAAAUACCAAUACAAGAUUUUAAGAAUCAAAGUAACUAAUGUCAUACUUCCAAGAAAAGUUUUUCUUUUGAAAAGAUAGCGAAUUAUCUGUACCAGAAACCGACACAGGUGGGGAAGUAGAGAAUACUAAGGAGCGCGAGAGAACCCUCCUUAAGGAACUCGGCAAAAUAGCUCUGUAACUUCGGAAGAAAGAGCGCCCAUUGGGCUGAAAUAUCAAGUUCCAAGCAACUGUUUAACAAAAACACAGGUCUCCGCUAAGUUGUAAAACGACGUAUGGGGGCUGACGCCUGCCCAGUGCCGGAAGGUUAAAAAAGUGAGUCAAGAGUUUUCUGAAGCUUAUGAUUGAAGCCCCGGUGAACGGCGGCCGUAACUAUAACGGUCCUAAGGUAGCGAAAUUCCUUGUCGGGUAAGUUCCGACCCGCACGAAUGGCGUAAUGAUUUGGAAACUGUCUCAAGGAGGGACUCGGCGAAAUAGAAAUGUCUGUGAAGAUGCGGACUACCUGCGCCAGGACAGUAAGACCCUAUGAAGCUUUACUGUAGCCUGAAAUUGAGUUUCGAUUUUCUUUGCGCAGAAUAGGUGGGAGACUACGAAGGCUUUCUUGUGGGAAAGCUAGAGUCGAUCGUGAGAUACCACUCUAAGAAGAUUGAACCUCUUCAUUUUCAACCGUUAGCCGGUGAAAAAACAGUUUCAGGUGGGCAGUUUGACUGGGGCGGUCGCCUCCUAAAAGGUAACGGAGGCGUACAAAGGUUUCCUCAAAUCAGAUAGAAAUUGAUUGAAGAGCGCAAAGGUAAAAGGAAGCUUAACUGUGAGACAAACAAGUCAAACAGAGACGAAAGUCGGUCUUAGUGAUCUGACGUUUUCUGUGUGGAAAGGACGUCACUCAACGGAUAAAAGUUACUCUAGGGAUAACAGGCUGAUCUCCCCCAAGAGUUCACAUCGACGGGGAGGUUUGGCACCUCGAUGUCGGCUCAUCGCAUCCUGGGGCGGUAGUACGUCCCAAGGGUUGGGCUGUUCGCCCAUUAAAGCGGUACGUGAGCUGGGUUCAGAACGUCGCGAGACAGUUCGGUCCAUAUCCGGCGUGGGCGAUGGAGUAUUGAGAGUGGCCUUUCUCUAGUACGAGAGGACCGAGAAAGACAUACCGCUAGUGUACCAGUUAUUUCACCAGAAGUACAUGCUGGGUAGCUAUGUAUGGUUUAGAUAACCGCUGAAAGCAUCUAAGUGGGAAGCUGUCCUCAAGAUAAAUACUCUUAAGAAACGAUAAGACGAAUCGUUUGAAAGGAACCUGGUGAAAGUAUAGAAAUAUAUUAGCUUAGGUUUACUAAAAAUUACUAUUUUAAGUUU